ACUCUCUCUCUCUCUCUCUUUCUGCACUAGAUAUUUUACUUGGGAAAGAUAUGAUGGAUCUGACUGUACACCAUAUCAUAAACUUGUUACAUGGCAAACAUGCUAACUAUAAAUUAGCACCGAAAGAGAAGAAGAUACAAGCAACCUGGUGAGGUGAGGAGCUCAGUUAGGGAAUGGAGUCCGGCAGCAGCAAGCGUAGCGGGUUAUUCUAUAGAAGAGGAUCAAAGUACUCGGGGAAAUAUGCUAGUAACACUAUCCCUGCUCCUCCUCCUCCUCCUCCUCUGGCUCCCUUGGGCAGAAAGGAAGGGAUGAUCGGCGGCCGCGGUGGCUACGAUACGACAGUCAACGGCGCCAUCGACAGUAGUGAGGUAGAUCGGCGAGCCGCGAGCUUUAUCGCCUACGUUCAAGAGCGACUCAAGCUGGAGAGGAUCGAGGAGGACUGGAGGAACUACUAGUAGGUGUGACAAACAAGGUUUCUUGUACCUGGGUGUAGUUUCUUCCAUGUAGCUCCUUCGGAGUGUCUGCCUAUAGUUUGUGCUGCAGUACGAGUACAGUAAAAUUUCAUUUGGCCUUGACAACUUGUCUAUUCGAAGACGAUCAUCGUAAAAGAAAGGACUCAAAUAUGAUCUCCGUCAAAAGCAUGGUGGCGUCUACUAUUAGUGUAAACAACCUUAAGCCGUGGCAUCGGGGCCGACGCGAUUGGGUUCGGGCCCGAAUGAUUGGGGAUCUCCCUGGGACGACCCUUAAGAUUGCUGAGGUGGCCGCCUGCGAUGGUUCGAUCGUGACGGGGUCACCGUUUCCUCUGGGAGGGGGCUCCUCACCUGAGCGUUCUGUGGGAGGCAUCCGUCUUCGCACCUGCACACAGGUCGGGUUGGGAGAGCUCGACCCGACCCCUUCGACGAUCAAGCCAGUGGAUGAUCUUGGGGGGGACAGGCUCGUACUCCUGGUAGCGUCUGACAUCGGUGGCGUGGCGUGAAAGAUCGAGCUCGAGCAGGGUGUUAAUGUGCCUUGAUCGACGUUCCGAUCUGUGUUGACCAAGUGCUAACAGGUCAACAGAGACGUGAGGUGUCAUUUGGGGCAGCUGCACGAUACUCAAUAAGUGGGAGGCAAAGAACAUGCUCGGUAUACAUAAUUCGCUACCGCACUUCGUAUAGAAUGGCUAUGCUCAAAACGCCAAAUAAACAGAAUAUUUUGUACCAUCAAUCUUUCAUCUAAUUGUAAGCCACAGCUACUCCAAGUUGUUGCGAAACAAAAAAAGUCAACUUGACAAAGAGGGCAAUUCUGAACCAAUUGCUUGCCAA
This is a long non-coding RNA of Musa acuminata AAA Group (dessert banana), 1301 nucleotides long. RefSeq lists it as uncharacterized. The transcript has 2 exons. The record is from RefSeq and is a predicted model, not a curated record. NCBI's taxonomy places the organism in Eukaryota, Viridiplantae, Streptophyta, Magnoliopsida, Zingiberales, Musaceae.